RNAcentral lists this ribosomal RNA (483 nucleotides) under uncultured bacterium. RNAcentral describes it as "partial 16S ribosomal RNA". It matches the Rfam family "Bacterial small subunit ribosomal RNA", at positions 28 to 523 of the family's 1533-position model. The record is from RNAcentral.
GACGAACGCUGGCGGCGUGCUUAACACAUGCAAGUCGAACGAUGAAGCCCAGCUUGCUGGGUGGAAGAGUGGCGAACGGGUGAGUAACACGUGAGUAACCUGCCCCUGACUCUGGGAUAAGCGCUAGAAAUGGAGUCUAAUACUGGAUAUGACCUAUCACCGCAUGGUGUGUAGGUGGAAAGAUUUAUGGGUUGGGGAUGGACUCGCGGCCUAUCAGCUUGUUGGUGAGAUAAUGGCUCACCAAGGAGACGACGGGUAGCCGGCCUGAGAGGGUGACCGGCCACACUGGGACUGCGACACGGCCCAGACUCCUACGGGAGGCAGCAGUGGGGAAUAUUGCACAAUGGGCGCAAGCCUGAUGCAGCAACGCCGCGUGAGGGAUGACGGCCUUCGGGUUGUAAACCUCUUUUAGUAGGGAAGAAGCGCAAGUGACGGUACCUGCAGAAAAAGCACCGGCUAACUACGUGCCAGCCGCCGCGGUAA